AAUCUGCUCAGCGAGGGAGAGUUACAUGUCGCCGGGCCCAGCACCUAGGUAAUGUGACUCUCCCCUCCUGUUUGGGCCCUCCCAACAGUGGGAAAUGUGAGAUGUCACUGGGCUCAUCACCUAGGUGAUGUAAUGCCUCUCCCCUUUAUUGACCCACCCACAGUGGGUAUUGUGACAUAUUACCGUGUUCAACAGCUAAAUGAUGUGACUCUUUUCUCCUGAGUGAGCCCUGCUCACAGGCCUUGAACCCAGAUGAUUUAACUCUCCUAUCUGAUCAACAGCUAAAUGAUGUGACUCUUUUCUCCUGAGUGAGCCCUGCUCAUAGGCCUUGAACCCAGAUGAUUUAACUCUCCUAUCUGGGCUCUGCCUAUGGAGAACACUGUGACAUCUCUGCACCCAUCAUCUAGGUGAUGUGACUCUCCUCUCCUGCCUGGUUCUGGCUCACAGAAGGGAAUGUAACAUAUCUCUGGAUCCAGCACCUAGGGAGUGGAAAUGCCCUUGAAGAAUAAAAAUAAAGUGACUGCUGAUUAAGCAGAGAGUUUCACAUGAAAAAAGGAUUCCUUCUCAGAUAAGAUUCUGUGGACAAAUUACACCGCAUCUUAAGACUAUGCCUUGAAAGGUGUCAGCACCACAUGUUUUCCUGCUACCACCACACCCACAGGCAGAAGACCCAAAACAGAAAAAACUCCACCCAUUUCUGUACUUUAUAACAGAAGAGAUUCAGCAACAAUGAGCUGCUCUACAGAUAUAAAAAUACAAGUUUCUCCUUUCCUGUCUUCAGGUGCCCUCCCCUGCCAGCAAUUUCUGCUACAGUAAUAAAAAUAUGAGCCACACUGCCCUGUCCCUAUGAAACCCCCAAAAAAAGAGGCUCUAGCACUACCCUUUAGUGCACAGGUGAAACUUAACUCUCAUAAAUGUAUCUUGAACCCCGUAUACUUGAUUCUGGCCACAACUUAAGAGUCACAUGAGGCAGUUAAUUAAAAUAACAUGAAUGCUUCCACCCAGAACAUUAAACAGAACCUGUGGGAAGGGUACCAGUAAAGGGAGUUCUGCAAACUGGCCAUGUGAUUGUAAUUAGCAGCCUGGGCUUAUAACCACUUAACUAAGCAUUGCCUCUCAAGCUUUAUUGAGCUUAUAAAUCACUUGGUAAUGUUGGUCUCAAUCUAUGUAAUGUGAUUCUGCAGGUAUGGAAAGGUCCAUGAAUGGGUGUUUUAAAUAAGUCCCCUGUCAAUGCUGAUGAUGCUCCCGCUAGGCUCAUUAUUAGCAUUAGUUAGAGAAAGCAGGCACAGCACAGAGUCCCUUACACUUGGCACUCUUGUUACAACACAAUUACUUCUGGAACAAAUGAAGACAACCAAUCUCCAUCUUAAAGUAUCAUAAUCUUUGUUGGCUUUUUAAAGUUUACAGAGAAAACAGAAAGCAGCAAUAUCUGACUGAGUCUGCACUUAUUUAUUUUUUUUAUUUUUAUUUUUUUGGGGAUAGAGUCUCACUCUGUUGCCCAGGCUGGAGUGCAGUGGCGAGAUCUGUGCUCACUGCAACCUCUGCCUCCCACGCUCAAGCGAUUCUCCUGCCUCAGCCUCCCGAGUAGCUGGAACUACAGGCAUGCGCCACCAUGCCUGGCUAAUUUUUUUGUUGUUGUUGUAUUUUUAGUAGAGACAGACUUCACUAUGUUGGUCAGGCUGGUCUCGAACUCCUGACCUCAAAUGAUCUGCCUGCCUCGGCCUCCCAAAGCACUGGAUUACCGGCGUGAGCCACCACGCCCAGACCUUUGCUUUUGCACUGUAACUACUUCAGCUUGCAAAUAAGUACCUUGGAUAAUAAUCAAGUUUCUGUCAAAGGAACUUACUCUGUAUCUCUUAGUAUUUAUCAUUCUGUAUUGCUAAAUUUAAUUCUACCUUUGUGUCCAACUUUCAAGUGCUCUUAAAAUGAGCUUUACUCUGAACAAAUCUGUGUGUACUUUUAAUGACCGAAAAUUAAAAAAAUAAAC
This is a long non-coding RNA of Pongo pygmaeus (Bornean orangutan), 1987 nucleotides long. RefSeq lists it as uncharacterized. The transcript has 3 exons. The record is from RefSeq and is a predicted model, not a curated record. Lineage: Eukaryota; Metazoa; Chordata; Mammalia; Primates; Hominidae.